RNAcentral lists this ribosomal RNA (254 nucleotides) under uncultured bacterium. RNAcentral describes it as "partial 16S ribosomal RNA". It matches the Rfam family "Bacterial small subunit ribosomal RNA", at positions 524 to 776 of the family's 1533-position model. The record is from RNAcentral.
CACGUAGGCACCAAGCGUUGUCCGGAUUUAUUGGGCGUAAAGAGCUCGUAGGCGGUUCAGUAAGUCAGGUGUGAAAUCUUUGGGCUUAACCCAAAGCGUGCAUUUGAUACUGCUGUGACUUGAGUUCGGUAGGGGAGUGGGGAAUUCCUAGUGUAGCGGUGAAAUGCGCAGAUAUUAGGAGGAACACCGGUGGCGAAGGCGCCACUCUAGGCCGAAACUGACGCUGAGGAGCGAAAGCGUGGGGAGCAAACAGG